Helianthus annuus (common sunflower) is the source of this 2929-nucleotide long non-coding RNA. RefSeq lists it as uncharacterized. The record is from RefSeq and is a predicted model, not a curated record. The transcript has 10 exons. NCBI's taxonomy places the organism in Eukaryota, Viridiplantae, Streptophyta, Magnoliopsida, Asterales, Asteraceae.
ACUCUUCAUUCCUCCCAAAAUCUGAUUGUCUUGAAUCUAUUCAAACCACACAUCUCCUAAAAAGAAGUCGUCGGGUGAUAUGCAAGCCAAGAACACUUCACAGAUUAGAUUAUAACUUUUGUUAACCGAUAAUGACUACCAAGCAAUAUUCAAACCCUAAUCUGAGCAUAUUCAAUUCAUCAAACCCUAAACCUUCUUCUGGGAAUCUCACGUCGUCAAUUUCCUCACGUUGUAUAAGUUCUAAUUAGAUGGAACCCUAAUAGAAGUUGCUGAUAUGAAAGGGGAAGAAGCCAAUGGCAGUUGUAUUUAGGUAAGUGUUAUACAUGUUAUCUAGGAUUUGGAAGACGGAAGCACAUCAAGAUCGAGUUCUUAAAUUGCUUAUGCCACAAAGGUAUGUUUUGUAUUUUUCAAUAUAUGAUAUACACUUCGUUUGUUUCUAAAAUGAGGAUGAGUAUUCUGAAAACUACCCGACGAACUACCCUUAUUGGCGACUACAUGUAAGUUUUUUAGAUAUGGUUUGAAUGUUUAUUUGUAUAACUUUUUGUAGGCACGCCAGGUCCAUCCAGACUUCCAUCCAAUGCGUAUUGAAUGUUUAUUUGUAUUUUCAGUACCUUUUGGCAUUAUUCUUUAUAUAUUCUUUCUUCAGUUUAUUGUUUUAGUUAAAGAUUUAGUAUUUUAUAACAGGUUAAAGAUUUAAUGCUCAUUGGGAAUCAGGAAUCUCAAUGGUAGUUUUGUGGUCUUUAGUUAUUUAGAUUAUGGUAUGACCCAGCUGCUAUCUUUACAAUGCUAUUUGGGAUAGACGUAUGCAUAUUGGAUCAGGAUCAAUAUGAACUUAAAUGUUUGGAACUGAUCAAAAUUCACAAUUUGAAUUAUAGCCAUGAUGUCACAUACAUUAGAGAUAAACGUAAUUAAUUACUCACAUUGCUAUAGAGGUAAUGUGAGUCUCGGUUUGUUUUUCGUGUUGCUUGGUCAGGAUUGUUGGUUAAUGUUGUCUGUUUUUCGUCAUCAGUGUUUUAUGAGAAUGUUCUUUGCGCAACAGAUUUGUGACUUAAAUUUGGAAUAAUUUUGUUAAACAGUAGUCUGAGCUGGCGACGUUUGGUGUUUCUCGGCGAAAAGUCAUUGGUGGAUGCUUUUUUGCUUCAGUUAUUUUGCCACUUUAUGUGGCUGGCUGCAAAUCUAAAGACCCAAGUGCAUCAUUUAGAAGCCUCACAAACAUAGUUGAUGACUGGUAUUUUCUGCUUUUGUUUCCCUUUUACGAAAGUAUUGUGUUCCAUAGUUCAGUACUUCAGUAUACUUUUUGUUUUGGUGAGGUAGUUGAUGUUAUGCUUUUUUUAUGAGGCGGAUCAUACUUAUUGAAGCAACUGUUAAAGAGAUAGCUAGCAGAUUGCACCUAGAGAGAAGGAGUAAAAUCCCAUAUCUAAUUGGAGUGGAUUCUUCAGUUAGGUUCGUCACUUCAUUUUUGAAAGACAGAUCCCAACAAAGCACUAAAAUUCUCACAAUAUGGGCAAUGGCUGGGAUUGGAAAGACAUAUUUAGCAAACUAUGUCUUUUAGUUGCACUAUCUCGACUUUGAAAGAAACUGCUUUCUUGAAGAUAUUGAAAGGAUGUGUACACAGCCAAAUGGAUUGCUUGAUUUACAAAACAGCUCCUUAAAGAUAUUCAAGCAGGAAGUUGGAUGGACAAAUACGGGUAAAUCAAUUGUCAUCAGAGUUGGUAUUAAAGGCGGUUUAUCUCUGUUCGCAAUCCACGCACGAUUCUGGCGUCAAAAGUCGUUGUCGUCAGCUAAAAGGAAGCCCCGUCUGUCAAGGAUAAGAAAGAAAAUCAACUCGAGUUGACUGAUCUUUUGGGAGAUAUGACUGAUUCUGCAGGUUCGUCUCAAAUACAGAAGAUGUCUGUUAAUAUCUUACAUGGUUACCCUGCAGCAUGCCUAUGUAAAAUUAUUUAAAAUUUCAGGGGUGCUUCAGUUAAGCUACGGUCUCAUGUGGAUAUGGGAGUUGAUGCAGAGGAUGGCGAUGAAGCUGAUAGAUUAAAACUUCAAAGAUUAGCCGUAUAGGGAAAGUCAUUCCGUCGAGUUGAUGAUGAUGACGACAACGAUGAUGACUUCAAUGAUAAUGAAGACUUGCAAUCUCCUAUUAAUGAAGCUGAUCCAUUUCUUUUCUUUAUGGACAUUGCAAAAGGUUGACUUAGUAAGAGGUCAGCUGCGAAGAGUGAGAGAAAGAUACAGUAAACCCCUAAAUUAAACGUCGGAUGCAGAAGAUCUUCAUCUUGCAAAGACCGAUACUAACAUCAAUGAUCAAGAAGCUGAAACAAAGGUGGAAGCUGCGUCGAAAGAGAAUCUUUCGGAAGGGUAUAAUCAAAAUGAAACGGUGUAUCAGUUGGAAACUUCAAAGAACUCAUCUGAAACAUCAUCUUUAUUAGAUGAAAAAAAGAAAUUGGAUGCUCCAGUAAAACAUGUUGACUUCCUUUGCCCUAUUUCGUUAGAACUGAUGCGCGAUCCAGUUAUCGUCUCCACAGGACAGAAGUUUGAGCACGAUUUGGAAUGCUAGAAGAAGACUUGGGAGCUUCAGAGAUGAUCAAGAGAGUGUGUUUUGAGGUGUGGUGAACUUAUGCACAAUGUGGUUCUAUUUAUAGUGCAAGAAAGGGCAUGGGAUCAUCACAACUCAGGCUACAAGUGAGUAUGUAUGCUCAGCAGGUGUCCUAAAGUGCUAGGGGUCAGGUAGAGGGUGCCCAUGCCUCACUUAUUGCUUAAAUGAUCGUUCACAAGUUCAAAAGGCAUGCAAGUCCAAACUUUCUGCAUCUAGGCGUCUCACGCGGCCCGCAUGAAAGAUUCAUGCAACUAUUACGCGGGCCGCCUGAAGUUUUAAAUCAGACGCGUAGAAUUAGGAGGCUCGCGGCCCGCCUCAACUUAACCAAAAACCUUACGCGGCCCG